Epinephelus lanceolatus (giant grouper) is the source of this 4368-nucleotide non-coding RNA. NCBI's taxonomy places the organism in Eukaryota, Metazoa, Chordata, Actinopteri, Perciformes, Serranidae. The record is from RefSeq and is a predicted model, not a curated record.
AUAAGGACGAGGGGAGGGUGUGCUAAUGUUUACAACCACUGGACUGUCAAUAAUUUUAUCGUAAAAACUGUGAUUUUGUCGAUACUUCAGCAGCAUAUGAAAAGACAAGUAUACAGGGACGCAAACUAAAUGACCUCUUCUCGCAUUCAGGCUUUUGUUAACCGUGAGACAUCUGGUUGCUCUCGACUCACUGUGUUACACAGUGAAUCUGAGUGGGCAUUUGGAAAGAACCUUUCAGUGUGUACAUUGUGCUGGUAAACAGUGUCCUGAUGGAGUGGGUGUUCAUCAUGAACCGGAUGAGCUCUCAGGGUAGCUCUGCAGCGCAGCGGAGGCGGAUGGCUCUGGGAGUGGUCAUACUCUUGCUGGUGGAUGUCAUCUGGGUAGCCUCCUCUGAGCUCACCUCAUACAUUUUCAAGCGACAGGAGUACAACAAACCCUUCUUCAGCACAUUCACCAAGACCUCCAUGUUUGUACUCUAUUUGCUGGGGUUCCUGCUGUGGCGGCCCUGGAGGCAGCAGUGCACUGGCACACUGAAACGGCGGCAUUCGGCGUUUUUUGCUGAUGCUGAGGCCUACUUUGCACCCUGCACCACUGACACCACUGUCAACAACUGUUUGAGUGAACCACUCUAUGUUCCGGUGAAGUUCCAGGAUGUACCUGCUGAGCACUCAAAUUGUUUAAUUGGAGACUGUGAAACUUCAGCUUCUAAAAAGCAGCGGGUGCGUUUCAGUAACAUCAUGGAGGUGCGUCAGCUGCCCUCUACUCAAGCCCUGGAUGCCAAAUUGUCCCGCAUGUCCUACCCAGCUGCCAAGGACCAUGAGGCCAUGUUGCGCACAGUGGGCAAGUUAACCAUCACUGAUGUGGCCAAAAUCAGCUUCUUCUUCUGCUUUGUGUGGUUUCUGGCUAACCUGUCCUAUCAGGAAGCCCUGUCCGACACACAGGUCGCCAUUGUCAACAUCCUGUCAUCCACCUCAGGCCUGUUCACGCUCAUCUUAGCAGCCAUAUUUCCCAGCAACAGCAGUGACCGUUUCACCUUGUCUAAACUGUUAGCUGUAGCUCUGAGCAUGGGAGGUGUUACCCUUGUGAGUUUCUCCAGCAUGGACAACCCUGAUGAGAAAGGCGUCAUAGGUUCCUUGUGGUCACUGGUGGGGGCGGCGCUGUACGCAGUCUACAUCGUCAUGAUCAAGAGACGAGUGGAUCGGGAAGAUAAGCUUGACAUCCCCAUGUUCUUUGGGUUUGUGGGUCUGUUCAACCUGCUGCUGCUGUGGCCAGGCUUUCUUCUGCUCCACUACACGGGUUUUGAGGCCUUUGAGCUUCCCAGCCAGCUGGUGUGGACAUAUAUCCUCAUUAAUGGCCUCAUUGGAACCGUUCUCUCAGAGUUUCUCUGGCUCUGGGGCUGCUUUCUCACAUCAUCUCUAAUCGGGACUCUGGCAUUGAGCCUCACCAUCCCGCUCUCUAUAAUGGCAGAUAUUUGCAUGCAGAAGGUACGUUUCUCGUGGCUGUUUUUUGCUGGGGCGGUCCCCGUCUUCCUCUCCUUUUUCAUUGCCACACUCUUGUGCCACUACAACAACUGGGACCCUGUCCUGGUGGGGCUGAGGAGAGUGUAUGUCUUCAUCUGCAGGAAACAUCGCAUUCAGAGGUACACACUGCUUGAUUCUACAAAGGAAUUACAGACUGCCAGAAGACAGUGAGCAGUGUGAAAGCCUUAUUCCUCUACACACCGUCUCCCCCAGCGAAGGAAGCUUCUGCUCAUGAUCCAGCAGUCAAACACAAAGUGGUGAGAGUGGAUCUCACUGAGCUGACAAUCUGGAAGCUUUCAGAGACAUUGAACUACCCCAGUGCCUCCUAUUAAAUCUAUUUAUUUUCAAGAGUGCUGAGACCACACAUCCAUUUCUACAAGCUCACUUCUAUUUUCGCAUUCCAGUCAUCCCAGACUGAGAUCCUGUUUUUAUUUUUUGCCUAUGUUUUCUGUGUAGUAAAAAAAAAAACCUUACGGUUCUCAAGGUGCUGGACAUUAUCAGUGAAUACUAUAGUGUCGUGACCAAAUGAAACGGUACAUAUUGAACUGGAUCAUAACACUAACAGAGGCAGAGUAGCUCUGUGUGUUUCUCCUAUUGACAGUCUCCAUUUCACAGUCACAAAUUUUUUUUCAGGCUGAACAUUCUUCUGUACUGGACAUUCUUAUUUUUGUCUAUACGCCUUUUAAAACUGUGCUGCUAUUUUGUACGUUUUUGUGUGAAGCAGACAGAGUGCAUUUUCAUAAAUGACGUAUGUAAAAAGUUUGUUUUUGGUUUGGCUGCAUUUGAUAGAGAAAUCCUGCUUUUCCAUAAAUCAGCCAUGUGACAUACUUCAUAUGAGUCAAUCAAUAUGACUGCAGUGUUUUCAGGAUGUGUGAUGUGGUAGAAUCUGAAACUAAGCACGGUGUUGAGUUGAUCUUACCAGCAUCUUCAGUUUGGGUAAUGACAGAACCAUUGAGAGUGACUUGUGCGUGCAUUGUGAGAUAUUUUUUCACUUACUUUAGACCUCCAGAUGAUACUGACUCUGUCCUGAUAGUAUUCAACAUUUUAAAGGGGCAGUUCAGCCCAAAAUUAAAAAUACAUCUUUUCCCCCCUCGCCUGUAGUGCUGUUUAUCAGUCUAGAUUGUUUUAGUGUGAGUUGCCGAGUGCUGGAGAAAUUUGCCGUAGAGAUGUCUGCCUUAUAUAAUGGCACUAGAUGACAUUUUGCUAGUAGUGCUCAAAGUGCCAAGAAAAUCAUUUGAAAAACUGAACAGCAUUGUGUCUUUCCAGAACUCAUGACUCAGGAUAAACCACAUACCUUGUUGUGAGCAGUUUAAUGUAGGAACUAUUUACUUUUUACUGAACUACACCUACCAACCUUAUCACCAUGCAGAAGCAGAAGGAAGUGUGCAUGCAUCUACUGCUGGCUCACCUAACACCACUGAGCUAGCUGAUGUUACAGCCCAGCCAAGAAGAUUGCAAUUAAUAUUUCCGUCUCACUCUCUCAGGAGCAUGAGCCUCUCGUCCCUGACUGGAUGCGUGUUCCCUUCUGCACGAUUAUACAUUCGGCAGGUGUAGUUUGGUAGAAAGUAAUUAGUGACUAAGUGAAAAUUCCUCACACAAGGUCUAGGUCUAAACUGAUACAGGUAAGGGGAAAAAUUUAGUGUGAACUGUCCCUUUAACUUCUCUCACUAAAUCUUUUAUUUUUAGUCCUUAUUUUCUUUUGUUAUGGAAACCUUUGUAGCCGGACAUGAAGUAAAAUGUAAUCACAUUACAGCUGAACAAGAAUCCUUCAGCAUCCUUCAACAGCUUUCUUGUUUCCCUCUGUACCUCUGACAGUGCUGGAUCAUGAAGACAAACUGUGAUAGAGACAUAAUAUUUGUGUUUUAAUAUGAACAUAUGUUAAGCCUUCUGCUAUAAGCUACAAACGCCUUGCUGCAAUAACGGUCGUCUGCUCGUACUGUAUGAGCAGUUUCCUUUUCCAAAUGAGUGUAAAUACUGUACACAGUGAAGCAUUAACAGAGAAUUGAUGUUUUGUUUAUGAAAUUCAGAUGACCACUACAGAUUCCUGUCUGAGAUUGUGUAUUAUUUUAUAUUUUAUGUAUCAUUGUAAAUCAUUACUGCCAGAGGAAGUGUGUGCAUCACAGCAAAAUUCUCUUUUAUUAGCAACUGAGAUUAUAUCACAUUGAUUAGACUGUUGUAUAUGAUCAUUUAUGAUUUAUUUACUGUGUUUGUGAUUUCAUGUGAUGAGAAAAAAGCAUUUCUUUCAGUGUGCCUCAGUGUGUGUCAUGUAAACACUACAGUUGAAGGUGAAAUGUCAAUAUUAUUCCACAUCCUGUUAAAUGUCAGCUGUGUGUACAUCUUUAUGGAGUGUUUAUAGCACUCAGCAUUGACUGGAUGUAUGAAGUGGAGGAAGUAAUAACCGGCCUGUGAGGGUAAAGUAACGGGUUGAGCACUUUAAGUGACAGAUAUAAACUUUUCUCGUUCAUGUUCAUUGUUGCACUUGCAGUGUUUUUGCCAAUCAGUCCCUCCUGCCACAGUUGCAACUAUUAAAGCUUUUCAGGAAGAUUAGUUUCCCAUGUUGUUUGCUUAGAUUUCAAAAGAAAAUUAUCAUUAUUAUUUUUUCUCAUCUUUUAUCAAUGGUGCUUGUGAAAUCAUGGAUAUGAUUUUUUUUCUUUCUCAGGUUCUUUGUCUUGUUUUUCAUAUCUGAGCAGUUUCUUUGUCUUUCAAGUGUCAUUAUUGAAAAUGUUAUAUCUUAAAGAAGGCUCUAAUAGUAACAUCCCUUUUAUCAACCUCAGCUCUUGAAUUAUCCUUUUAUUUUGUAAAUCUGUUUUCAUACUUACACUGCACUAUUAAAACAUCUUUUAAAAUG